Long non-coding RNA from Bradysia coprophila, 442 nucleotides. Lineage: Eukaryota; Metazoa; Arthropoda; Insecta; Diptera; Sciaridae. The record is from RefSeq and is a predicted model, not a curated record.
CAAUCAAAGACACUUUGCUCUAGUAAUUCAUUCGGGUAAAAUGAUAAAAAAAAACAUUCGAAAAGGUCAGCGGUAUAUCUCAUGUUCUUCUGAUACGUACAAGCUUGGCCGGCUAGAUCUGAAAGUACUAGUCACCAGCUUUCCAACGCGUCCCCUAACGUCAAAUUUUAUUUAGAACUGCCCAAGGAAAUUGAAUUCAAAGUUACCGGUUUUCCGGUACACUUUUCAGGGGACCCAGGAUAACUCACUGAACUUUUAAUUUUCCAAAAAAAGUUGUUCUAGCGAUUUUAGAUAUUGAGCCAGCCUUUCAGAUUCCGGUCCAACCAUAAACAAAUAUUCAGUUUUGACCGAGAUAUUUCACUUUUAAGUUUUACACUAAAACCGGUUUUUACCGGUACUUACCGGUUCAAAACACAAAAAAAAAAUUAAUUAGGAAAGUCUG